Molecule: long non-coding RNA, 1094 nt
Filed under: Salmo salar (Atlantic salmon)
Lineage: Eukaryota; Metazoa; Chordata; Actinopteri; Salmoniformes; Salmonidae
Description: lncRNA (ENSSSAG00000107502.1)
Source: RNAcentral
AGUUCCUACUCACCCUCUCAGUUACCCAGGUAGAUCCUACUCACCCUCUCAGUUACCCAGGUAGUUCCUACUCACCCUCAGUUACCCAGGUAGAUCCUACUCACCCUCUCAGUUACCCAGGUAGAUCCUACUCAGCCUCUCAGUUACCCAGGUAGAUCCUACUCACCCUCUCUGUUACCCAGGUAGAUCCUACUCACCCUCUCAGUUACCCAGGUAGAUCCUACUCACCCUCUCAGUUACCCAGGUAGUUCCUACUCACCUUCUGUUACCCAGGUAGAUCCUACUCACCCUCAGUUACCCAGGUAGUUCCUACUCACCCUCAGUUACCCAGGUAGUUCCUACUCACCCUCAGUUACCCAGGUAGAUCCUACUCACCCUCUCUGUUACCCAGGUAGUUCCUACUCACCCUCUCAGUUACCCAGGUAGAUCCUACUCACCCUCUCAGUUACCCAGGUAGAUCCUGCUCACCCUCUGUUACCCAGGUAGUUCCUACUCACCCUCUCAGUUACCCAGCUAGAUCCUACUCACCCUCUGUUACCCAAGUAGUUCCUACUCACCCUCUCAGUUACCCAGGUAGUUCCCACUCACCCUCUCAGUUACCCAGGUAGAUCCUACUCACCCUCUCAGUUACCCAGGUAGCUUGUGAAUGAAGUUUCUCUACCUUAAAGUAUAUCAAGAGCAGGGGCUGGUAGUGAUGUAGCUAGGUGGUUGUAUUAGGGGUAGUGAUGUAGCUAGGUGGUUGUAUUAGGGGUAGUGAUGUAGCUAGGUGGUUAUAUUAGGGGUUGUGAUGUAGCUAGGUGGUUAUAUUAGGGGUUGUGGUGUAGCUAGGUGGUUAUAUUAGGGGUUGUGGUGUAGCUAGGUAGUUGUAUUAGGGGCUGGUUGUGAUGUAGCUAGGUGGUUGUAUUAGGGGUUGUGGUGUAGCUAGGUGGUUGUAUUAGGGGUUGUGAUGUAGCUAGGUGGUUGUAUUAGGGGUUGUGAUGUAGCUAGGUGGUUGUAUUAGGGGUUGUGAUGUAGCUAGGUGGUUGUAUUAGGGGUUGUGAUGUAGCUAGGUGGUUGUAUUAGGGGUUGUGAUGUAGCUAGGUGGUUGUAUUAGG